UUUGAGGUCACUAGGUCAAAGGUCAAGGUCACGGUGACUCGACAUAGUAAAAUGGUUUCCGGAUGAUAACUCAAGAACGCUUAGGCCUAGGAUCAUGAAACUUGAUAGGUAGAUUGAUCAUGACUCGCAGAUGACCCCUAUUGAUUUUCAGGUCACUAAGUCAAAGGUCAAGGUCACAGUGACCCGAAAUAGUAAAAUGGUUUCCGGAUCAUAACUCAAGAACGCUUAGGCCUAGGAUCAUGAAACUUGAUAGGUAGAUUGAUCAUGACUCGCAGACGACCCCUAUUGAUUUUCAGGUCACUAGGUCAAAGGUCAAGGUCACAGUGACCCGAAAUAGUAAAAUGGUUUCCGGAUGAUAACUCAAGAACACUUAUGCCUAGGGUCAUGAAACUUCGUAGGUAGAUUGAUAAUGGCUGGCAGAUGACCCCUAUUGAUUUUCAGGUCACUAGGUCAAAGGUCAAGGUGACCCGAAAUAGUAAAAUGGUUUCCGGAUGAUAACUCAAGAACGCUUAUGCCUAGGAUCAUGAAACUUCAUAGGUACAUUGAUCAUGACUCGCAGUUGACCCCUAUUGAUUUUCAGGUCACUAUAUCAAAGGUCAAGGUCACGGUGACCUGAAAUAGUAAAAUGGUUUCCGGAUGAUAACUCAAGAACGCUAAUGGCUACGAUCAUGAAACUUCAUAGGUACAUUGAUCAUGACUCGCAGAUGACCCCUAUUGAUUUUCAGGUCACUAGGUCAAAGGUCAAGGUCAUGGUGACCCGAAAUAGUAAAAUGGUUUCUGGAUGAUAACUCAAGAAUGCUUAUGCCUAGGAUCAUGAAACUUCAUAGGUACAUUGAUCAUGACUCACAGAUGACCCCUAUUGAUUUUUAGGUCACUAGGUCAAAGGUCAAGUUCACAGUGAC
Molecule: long non-coding RNA, 902 nt
Organism: Dreissena polymorpha
Lineage: Eukaryota; Metazoa; Mollusca; Bivalvia; Myida; Dreissenidae
Exons: 2
Source: RefSeq, a predicted model, not a curated record